UGGUCCAGUGAUGACCACUCGUGGCAUUGAGUCAUGCAUCGUGUAUAGUAUAUUUCAACAACUGUGACCUG
This 71-nucleotide small nucleolar RNA is filed under the name Loxodonta africana (African savanna elephant). RNAcentral describes it as "Small nucleolar RNA SNORD113/SNORD114 family (ENSLAFG00000033177.1)". The record is from RNAcentral. Lineage: Eukaryota; Metazoa; Chordata; Mammalia; Proboscidea; Elephantidae.